GACGAACGCUGGCGGCGUGCUUAACACAUGCAAGUCGAACGGAAAGGCCCUGCUUUUGUGGGGUGCUCGAGUGGCGAACGGGUGAGUAACACGUGAGUAACCUGCCCUUGACUUUGGGAUAACUUCAGGAAACUGGGGCUAAUACUGGAUAGGAGCUCCUGCUGCAUGGUGGGGGUUGGAAAGUUUCGGCGGUUGGGGAUGGACUCGCGGCUUAUCAGCUUGUUGGUGGGGUAGUGGCUUACCAAGGCUUUGACGGGUAGCCGGCCUGAGAGGGUGACCGGCCACAUUGGGACUGAGAUACGGCCCAGACUCCUACGGGAGGCAGCAGUGGGGAAUAUUGCACAAUGGGCGGAAGCCUGAUGCAGCAACGCCGCGUGCGGGAUGACGGCCGUCGGGUUGUAAACCGCUUUCGCCUGUGACGAAGCGUGAGUGACGGUAAUGGGUAAAGAAGCACCGGCUAACUACGUG
This 468-nucleotide ribosomal RNA is filed under the name uncultured bacterium. RNAcentral describes it as "partial 16S ribosomal RNA". It matches the Rfam family "Bacterial small subunit ribosomal RNA", at positions 28 to 507 of the family's 1533-position model. The record is from RNAcentral.